UACGGAGGGUGCGAGCGUUGUCCGGAAUCACUGGGCGUAAAGAGCGCGUAGGCGGUCCGAUAAGUCGGCUGUGAAAGUCAGGGGCUCAACCCUUGGAAGCCGGCCGAUACUGUCGGACUAGAGUCCGGAAGAGGCGAGUGGAAUUCCCGGUGUAGCGGUGAAAUGCGCAGAUAUCGGGAGGAACACCAAUGGCGAAGGCAGCUCGCUGGGACGGUACUGACGCUGAGGCGCGAAAGCGUGGGGAGCAAACAGG
This 253-nucleotide ribosomal RNA is filed under the name uncultured bacterium. RNAcentral describes it as "partial 16S ribosomal RNA". It matches the Rfam family "Bacterial small subunit ribosomal RNA", at positions 524 to 776 of the family's 1533-position model. The record is from RNAcentral.